AUUGAACGCUGGCGGCAGGCUUAACACAUGCAAGUCGAGCGAGCGGCGGACGGGUGAGUAAUGUCUGGGAAACUGCCUGAUGGAGGGGGAUAACUACUGGAAACGGUAGCUAAUACCGCAAACCAUCAGAUUUACCCAGAAGGGAUUAGUGAGUAGGUGGGGUAAUGGCUCACGAAGGCGACGAUCCCUAGCUGGUCUGAGAGGAUGACCAGCCACACUGGAACUGAGACACGGGCCAGACUCCUACGGGAGGCAGCAGUGGGGAAUAUUGCACAAUGGGCGAAAGCCUGAGGCAGCAAGGCCGCGUGUGUGAAGAAGGCCUUCGGGUUGUAAAGUACUUUCAGCGGGGAGGCGGUACCCGCAGAAAAAGCACCGGCUAACUCCGUGCCAGCAGCCGCGGUAAUUC
Molecule: ribosomal RNA, 406 nt
Filed under: uncultured bacterium
Lineage: Bacteria
Description: partial 16S ribosomal RNA
Rfam family: Bacterial small subunit ribosomal RNA
Source: RNAcentral